Long non-coding RNA from Colias croceus (clouded yellow), 164 nucleotides. RefSeq lists it as uncharacterized. The record is from RefSeq and is a predicted model, not a curated record. NCBI's taxonomy places the organism in Eukaryota, Metazoa, Arthropoda, Insecta, Lepidoptera, Pieridae. The transcript is spliced from 3 exons.
AAUUAUUGAUUAAAAAGGUCGAACGCGCACACAUUUCAUUAUAGAGAAGUGAUAAAAUGAUUAGUUUUAAAGAAAUAGUGUCUGUGUUAAGUGUUUAGAGGUAAUCAAAAAUGUAUGGAGGGACGGUCGGAACAUCCACCUUAACAUUAACAUAGUUUAUGAAG